Molecule: ribosomal RNA, 646 nt
Filed under: uncultured bacterium
Lineage: Bacteria
Description: bacterial SSU rRNA
Rfam family: Bacterial small subunit ribosomal RNA
Source: RNAcentral
GACGGGUGAGUAACGCGUGAGAAUCUGCCCUCAGGAGGGGGAUAACAGUGGUAAGGACUGCUAAUACCCCAUAUGCCGAGAGGUGAAACGAAUUUUGCCUGGGGAUGAGCUCGCGUCUGAUUAGCUUGUUGGUGGGGUAAAAGCCUACCAAGGCUUCGAUCAGUAGCUGGUCUGAGAGGACGAUCAGCCACACUGGGACUGAGAUACGGCCCAGACUCCUACGGGAGGCAGCAGUGGGGAAUUUUCCGCAAUGGGCGCAAGCCUGACGGAGCAACGCCGCGUGAGGGAUGAAGGCCUUUGGGGCUGUAAAGCCUCUUUUCUCAAGGAAGAAGAUCUGACGGUACUUGAGGAAUAAGCCACGGCUAAUUCCGUGCCAGCAGCCGCGGUAAUACGGGAGUGGCAAGCGUUAUCCGGAAUUAUUGGGCGUAAAGCGUCCGCAGGCGGCCGUUUAAGUCUGUUGUUAAAUCGUGGAGCUCAACUCCAUCACGGCAAUGGAAACUGUUCGGCUUGAGUAUGGUAGGGGCAGAGGGAAUUUCCGGUGUAGCGGUGAAAUGCGUAGAUAUCGGGAAGAACACCAGUGGCAAAAGCGCUCUGCUGGGCCAUUACUGACGCUCAUGGACGAAAGCCAGGGGAGCGAAGGGAAUUA